RNAcentral lists this small nuclear RNA (22 nucleotides) under Arabidopsis thaliana (thale cress). RNAcentral's name for it is "snRNA_06542". Lineage: Eukaryota; Viridiplantae; Streptophyta; Magnoliopsida; Brassicales; Brassicaceae. The record is from RNAcentral.
GAAGUCCUCGUUUUGCAUCCCU